GUUGUUCGGAAUUACUGGGCGUAAAGCGAGUGUAGGUGGUUUGCCAAGUUGGGUGUGAAAGCCUUGAACUCAACUCAAGAAAUGCACUCAGUACUGGCAGACUAGAGGACCGGAGAGGAUAGUGGAAUUCCCAGUGUAGUGGUGAAAUACGUAGAGAUUGGGAAGAACACCAGUGGCGAAGGCGGCUAUCUGGACGGUUUCUGACACUAAGACUCGAAAGCGUGGGGAGCAAACAGGAUUAGAUACCCUGGUAGUCCACGCCGUAAACGAUGGGUGCUAGACGUUGGCGAGCUUGCUCGUCAAGUGUCGCAGCUAACGCGUUAAGCACCCCGCCUGGGGAGUACGGNCGCAAGGUUGAAACUCAAAGGAAUUGACGGGGGNCCGCACAAGCGGGGGAGCAUGU
This 403-nucleotide ribosomal RNA is filed under the name uncultured bacterium. RNAcentral's name for it is "bacterial SSU rRNA". It matches the Rfam family "Bacterial small subunit ribosomal RNA", at positions 540 to 942 of the family's 1533-position model. The record is from RNAcentral.